RNAcentral lists this long non-coding RNA (942 nucleotides) under Portunus trituberculatus (swimming crab). RNAcentral's name for it is "uncharacterized LOC123513684, transcript variant X1". The record is from RNAcentral. Lineage: Eukaryota; Metazoa; Arthropoda; Malacostraca; Decapoda; Portunidae.
GUGUUAUUGUUGGACGUCGGGAAGUGUAUACAACAAGGGAGAAGUCGGGUCUUGCCGGCCAUCCUCUAAACCUGGGCGAACAAGUCUCAGGCGUCAGUCAGAUGGAGCACGUCCCGCCACGAAUCUGGCACCGGCGUCCCUACAUCUGCUCACUACCAACUUGGUAGAGCCUCUGUUUCACUCGAGCUAACGCGUCAGCUACAGCAACGCUCGAGUCAGACCUGCACCCGCCCAAGCGUCUGAGAAGCCCAGGCAUCCUCUUCUGUCUGUGUCCAUGUGAUAGCAGUCCAUCUCCAGGUCGCCCUCUUCAAAAGAGGGCGUUGACAGUGGAGACGUGCGGUCCUGGCGGUCCAGCAUAGGUCCUGCCACUACUGAAGAGAGAACCAAACCAGCGUCUUAAUCACACCCAACUUGCGGCAAGAAAUUUUCUCUCGUUGCACUGGAAGAAGCCAACGGUCUCGCUGCACCUUCCAUGGAGGAAUUGGACCCUGCCUCGCACCAGCUCUGCCAUGGUAACGUACUGCCAUCAAGGGAGGACACUGCCUCGCUGCACCUUCCAUGGAGGAAUUGGACCCUGCCUCGCACCAACUCUGCCAUGAUAACGUGCUGCCAUCAAGGGAGGACACUGCCUCGCUGCACCUUCCAUGGAGGAAUUGGACCCUGUCUCGCACCAACUCUGCCCUGAUAACGUGCUGCCAUCAAGGGAGGACACUGCCUCGCUGCACCUUCCAUGGAGGAAUUGGACCCUGCCUCGCAUCAGCGCUGCCCUGACAAGUGGUGCCAUCCAGGAAGAGAUGACAUAUUAUAUUGCCUUGCUUCAUCUAACCUAACCUAACAAAUACAUGUUGCGAAUCACUCUUGUAAUGUUAUUCCUUCCAUGUUCUGAUGUGCCCACAUAACUGGUGUUAUACUUUAAUAAUAAAUAAAGAUUAAGGAAAUUGA